Molecule: non-coding RNA, 45 nt
Filed under: Echinostoma caproni
Lineage: Eukaryota; Metazoa; Platyhelminthes; Trematoda; Plagiorchiida; Echinostomatidae
Source: RNAcentral
GCACUGCUGACGAGUUCCAAACAGGACGAAACAACUGUUUAGUGU